Molecule: small nuclear RNA, 107 nt
Organism: Callithrix jacchus (white-tufted-ear marmoset)
Lineage: Eukaryota; Metazoa; Chordata; Mammalia; Primates; Cebidae
Source: Ensembl
GUGCUUGCUUCGGCAGCACAUAUACUAAAAUUGGAAUGAUACAGAGAAGAUUAGCAUGGCCCCUGUGCAAGGAUGACAUGUAAAUUCGUGAAGCAUUCCAUAUUUAA